UUAAGUUAGAAAGGGCGCACGGUGGAUGCCUUGACACUAGGAGUCGAUGAAGGACGGGACUAACGCCGAUAUGCUUCGGGGAGCUGUAAGUAAGCUUUGAUCCGAAGAUUUCCGAAUGGGGAAACCCACCAUACGUAAUGGUAUGGUAUCCUUAUCUGAAUACAUAGGGUAAGGAAGACAGACCCAGGGAACUGAAACAUCUAAGUACCUGGAGGAAGAGAAAGCAAAUGCGAUUUCCUGAGUAGCGGCGAGCGAAACGGAACAUAGCCCAAACCAAGAGGCUUGCCUCUUGGGGUUGUAGGACAUUCUAUACGGAGUUACAAAGGAACGAGGUAGACGAAGCGACCUGGAAAGGUCCGUCGUAGAGGGUAACAACCCCGUAGUCGAAACUUCGUUCUCUCUUGAAUGUAUCCUGAGUACGGCGGAACACGUGAAAUUCCGUCGGAAUCUGGGAGGACCAUCUCCCAAGGCUAAAUACUCCCUAGUGAUCGAUAGUGAACCAGUACCGUGAGGGAAAGGUGAAAAGCACCCCGGAAGGGGAGUGAAAGAGAUCCUGAAACCGUGUGCCUACAAAUAGUCAGAGCCCGUUAACGGGUGAUGGCGUGCCUUUUGUAGAAUGAACCGGCGAGUUACGAUCCCGUGCGAGGUUAAGCUGAAGAGGCGGAGCCGCAGCGAAAGCGAGUCUGAAUAGGGCGUUUAGUACGUGGUCGUAGACCCGAAACCAGGUGAUCUACCCAUGUCCAGGGUGAAGUUCAGGUAACACUGAAUGGAGGCCCGAACCCACGCACGUUGAAAAGUGCGGGGAUGAGGUGUGGGUAGCGGAGAAAUUCCAAUCGAACCUGGAGAUAGCUGGUUCUCCCCGAAAUAGCUUUAGGGCUAGCCUUAAGUGUAAGAGUCUUGGAGGUAGAGCACUGAUUGGACUAGGGGUCCUCAUCGGAUUACCGAAUUCAGUCAAACUCCGAAUGCCAAUGACUUAUCCUUAGGAGUCAGACUGCGAGUGAUAAGAUCCGUAGUCAAAAGGGAAACAGCCCAGACCGCCAGCUAAGGUCCCAAAGUGUGUAUUAAGUGGAAAAGGAUGUGGAGUUGCUUAGACAACUAGGAUGUUGGCUUAGAAGCAGCCACCAUUUAAAGAGUGCGUAAUAGCUCACUAGUCGAGUGACUCUGCGCCGAAAAUGUACCGGGGCUAAAUACACCACCGAAGCUGCGGAUUGAUACCGAAUGGUAUCAGUGGUAGGGGAGCGUUCUAAGGACAGUGAAGUCAGACCGGAAGGACUGGUGGAGUGCUUAGAAGUGAGAAUGCCGGUAUGAGUAGCGAAAGACGGGUGAGAAUCCCGUCCACCGAAUGCCUAAGGUUUCCUGAGGAAGGCUCGUCCGCUCAGGGUUAGUCAGGACCUAAGCCGAGGCCGACAGGCGUAGGCGAUGGACAACAGGUUGAUAUUCCUGUACCACCUCUUUAUCGUUUGAGCAAUGGAGGGACGCAGAAGGAUAGAAGAAGCGUGCGAUUGGUUGUGCACGUCCAAGCAGUUAGGCUGAUAAGUAGGCAAAUCCGCUUAUCGUAAAGGCUGAGCUGUGAUGGGGAAGCUCCUUAUGGAGCGAAGUCUUUGAUUCCCCGCUGCCAAGAAAAGCUUCUAGCGAGAUAAAAGGUGCCUGUACCGCAAACCGACACAGGUAGGCGAGGAGAGAAUCCUAAGGUGUGCGAGAGAACUCUGGUUAAGGAACUCGGCAAAAUGACCCCGUAACUUCGGGAGAAGGGGUGCUUUCUUAACGGAAAGCCGCAGUGAAUAGGCCCAAGCGACUGUUUAGCAAAAACACAGCUCUCUGCGAAGCCGUAAGGCGAAGUAUAGGGGGUGACACCUGCCCGGUGCUGGAAGGUUAAGGAGAGGGGUUAGCGUAAGCGAAGCUCUGAACUGAAGCCCCAGUAAACGGCGGCCGUAACUAUAACGGUCCUAAGGUAGCGAAAUUCCUUGUCGGGUAAGUUCCGACCCGCACGAAAGGUGUAACGAUUUGGGCACUGUCUCAACCAGAGACUCGGUGAAAUUAUAGUACCUGUGAAGAUGCAGGUUACCCGCGACAGGACGGAAAGACCCCGUGGAGCUUUACUGUAGCCUGAUAUUGAAUUUUGGUACAGUUUGUACAGGAUAGGCGGGAGCCUUUGAAACCGGAGCGCUAGCUUCGGUGGAGGCGCUGGUGGGAUACCGCCCUGACUGUAUUGAAAUUCUAACCUACGGGUCUUAUCGACCCGGGAGACAGUGUCAGGUGGGCAGUUUGACUGGGGCGGUCGCCUCCUAAAGUGUAACGGAGGCGCCCAAAGGUUCCCUCAGAAUGGUUGGAAAUCAUUCGUAGAGUGCAAAGGCAUAAGGGAGCUUGACUGCGAGACCUACAAGUCGAGCAGGGACGAAAGUCGGGCUUAGUGAUCCGGUGGUUCCGCAUGGAAGGGCCAUCGCUCAACGGAUAAAAGCUACCCCGGGGAUAACAGGCUUAUCUCCCCCAAGAGUCCACAUCGACGGGGAGGUUUGGCACCUCGAUGUCGGCUCAUCGCAUCCUGGGGCUGUAGUCGGUCCCAAGGGUUGGGCUGUUCGCCCAUUAAAGCGGUACGCGAGCUGGGUUCAGAACGUCGUGAGACAGUUCGGUCCCUAUCCGUCGUGGGCGUAGGAAAUUUGAGAGGAGCUGUCCUUAGUACGAGAGGACCGGGAUGGACGCACCGCUGGUGUACCAGUUGUUCUGCCAAGGGCAUAGCUGGGUAGCUAUGUGCGGAAGGGAUAAGUGCUGAAAGCAUCUAAGCAUGAAGCCCCCCUCAAGAUGAGAUUUCCCAUAGCGUAAGCUAGUAAGAUCCCUGAAAGAUGAUCAGGUUGAUAGGUUCGAGGUGGAAGCAUGGUGACAUGUGGAGCUGACGAAUACUAAUAGAUCGAGGACUUAACCA
This 2920-nucleotide ribosomal RNA is filed under the name Bacillus cereus. RNAcentral's name for it is "23S ribosomal RNA". It matches the Rfam family "Bacterial large subunit ribosomal RNA". RNAcentral also lists the same sequence under 2 other names. The record is from RNAcentral. Lineage: Bacteria; Bacillati; Bacillota; Bacilli; Caryophanales; Bacillaceae.